This 8404-nucleotide long non-coding RNA is filed under the name Populus tremula. RNAcentral describes it as "long non-coding RNA (PTRE_LNC002456)". The record is from RNAcentral. Lineage: Eukaryota; Viridiplantae; Streptophyta; Magnoliopsida; Malpighiales; Salicaceae.
GCCGAAAAAAUACCAGAAACCAUGUGGGUCUGUCUCGGCUUCUUCUCUUCCUCCAUUCCCUUCCAGCGGUGAGAAUCGCCGCCACCUGCAAAGAGGAGAAAAACGCACAAAAGGCAGUUGAUUUUAUUUCUUUCUUUCCUUCAGAUCUGUUUCGGUCUUCUUUUUUUCAGUUAUAGUUUGUCGUUCUUCCCUUCUUCUAGUGACAGAUCUGGCGAUUGUUGUCCAUGGAUGUUGAUGGCUGAGAGGAGCGCCGCCGAGAUGGAGACUGUCGUGGAGGGCAGAUCGGCGGUUUGCAGAGGGCGACGAGGGAUCAGUGGCUAGUUGAAGGCGGCGCUGCUGUGGUUGAUGGAGUGGACGGCGCCGAUGGGAUGAGGAGACGCCGCUGCUGGGCCUCCGUUCGGUGUUGGAGGGGGCGCCGCUGCUGAUGCUGUGGGUCGCUGCUGAGUGGAUCAAAAAAGAAGAUGUUGCCGAGAGAGGUGCUUCAGUGUUGAUGGGUCCGACGGGAUAGAGACGAAGGCUGUGAUGUUUCGGGCAGCUGUUGUGGGAAGGAAAAAUCCAAAAAUCCAGUAGGGGGGGGAAGCGGCCAGCUUUGUUUUUUCUGACCUUGGCUGGGGAAGGGAGAAGAAACAAUGUAGGCCGGCGAUGGUGAUGGGUUUGUGGAGAUGGGGGUGUUCGGGUGGCUGAGAAAAAAUUCAAAUCGGCUGGGGGCUGUGAUUUUUGGCUCCGGUUGAAAGAGAAGAAAAAAAAAUUAAAAAAAACGAGAGGGAAGGGGCCUUGGGCGAGAAGGAGCAACGGCUGGAGGUUCAAAAAAUUUCAAACCGGGGGGCGGGGCGGCUCCUUUGGGUAGGCUGUUUGGAGAAAACAAAAGAUAGGUUUAGGGUUUUUUCUUUUGUAUUUUUGUUGAAGUUUCAAAAUUGCCCCCCCCCUUUUUAAAAAUCAGUUUAGCAUGGUAUUUAUAGGCAAAAAUAUUGCUAGGUUUUUCGACUUGGUCCCUCAACUUCUUUCUUUUUGUAAAUUUUGAUUUUUUUAUUUUUUUUGUAUUUUUGAAAACGAGCAAUAUCAACGUCGACUCAAAAUGCGGAAAAUCAAUAUUUUAAAAAUGACGCGUGAAAAGUCGAACGCGUUUGAAAAUAUUUUAACAAUUUAAAUUCUUUUUUAGACGCUGUUGAAAAUGCUAAAAUGACGAAAAUAUAUUAAAAAAAUAUUUUUUGGAUUUUCUUUGUUUUUCUCAAUUUUUUUGGAUUUUUUGAAAAUAUAUCAAAAACAUCGGUCAAAAAUUGGGUAGCAACAGAUGCCCCCUCUUUACAAUGCUUACGAAGCGAAAAUCCUCAAAAUUUUGCAUAGUAAGCUUUGUAAAGAAAACAAAAGGAAGAUGAUUUCAUUAUCUUGGGCGACCUGCCCAUACACUCACUGAUCUAUUUUCACGGGCGACCUGCCCACGCAUACUCACUCUGGUCUAUUUUCACGGGCGACCUACCCACACGUACUCACUCAAGUGUAUUUUCACGGGCGACCUGCCCACACAUACUCACUCAAGUCUAUUUUCACGGGCGACCGACCCACACUCUCCCAAUAGUCUAUUUUCACGGGCGACCUGCCCACACAUUGGGUUUACCUGAGAUCCCAUCUGGCGACCUCAUUCAACUGGAACGAAAAUAUGUGUAACUCGGUUAACCUGAAAUCCCAUCUGGCGAUUCCCUUUAACCAAAGUUACAUGAGAUCCCAUCUGGCGACCUAUUCAACUGGAACGAAAAUAUUUGUAACUCGGUUAACCUGAAAUCCCAUCUGACGAUUCCCUUUAACCAAAGCUACAUGAGAUCCCAUCUGGCGACCUCAUUCUGGUCUCAUUGUGCGGGUGACUAACCCUCGAAAAAUGCUGGUCUCAUUGUACGGGUGACGAACCCUAGUGCUGUUGGUCUCAUUGUACGGGUGACGAACCCUAGUGCUAGUCUCAUUGUACGGGUGACGAACCCUAGUGCUGGUCUCAUUGAACGGGUGACGAACCCUAGAAAAAUGGUUUUUUUUUUUUUUUUUUUUUUUGAGGUUAGAUGAUAUGCAUGCAUCCUUACCUGAUUUGAAAUAAUAGGUCCCCCCUCUUUGAUGCUCCAUCGUCAUAGGGUGCCCUUGUUUGUAUCCCAAAGCUUUCUUUGUUCUUCCGAUGUAUUGGCUCAUUCAUGUGUUAGCCAUCCACUCAACUGUAAAUGCAGUGCCCAUCCUGGGCUGUCUUCGACAAUUACUGCUUGCAUCGUUUAUGAAGCUUAACCCUGCCCCCAAGUGUAGUAUUGCUUGAUUCAUCAUGAGAGAUUUUCUCUCCUGGCUUCUUCUGAGAAAUUAUCCUCUGAUUGAUUAUGUGCAUCAUGCCAACACCCAUCAAGAUUGUUAAUCAGUCAUGAACUUGCCUUCGGUUGAAACACCAUUCAAGUAUGUAUGGUCACCAGCCUUCAUGGAACUGCCAAGUCAUCCAGACAUGUAUCUCAUGCUUUGCAGUAAACACUCAUCAUUGUAAGCGCGAUGUAUUUCUCUAUGGAUUCCUCUUAGCUUGUCAAAUCAGAUCGUGAAAAUACCUGCUUUGGCAUCAUCAAUGAUGUUCAUGUUAUCACCCAUAUUCAUGCGGUGAAGUGCGCAUUUGAGCUUCAGAAUAGAUGUCCCACAAUCAGUCUUCGAGGUGGGUGCCUUUCCGACAUUCAUUCAGUGCAGUUGUGUGAUAACAUCUGUCUAUAACCAUGUUUCAAAGAAUGACAAUAUGAGAUUGUCCUUUAAGUGCAGCAUUGUUCCACAGUCAGUCUUGGUGGUAUGCAUCUUUUCUCCAUUCAAUUACAUUCAUCUGUGUAUUCCUCAUCGAUCGCGAGCCAUGUUUCAAAAAAUGAUGAUAGGAAAGUGCCCUUCAGGUACGUUUUUGUUUCUCCAUUGCCGACAGGAUUCACUAAAGCAUGGGCCAUUUUGGAAUGACAUUGCCCCCAGUAUGAUCCGAAUGUGCUCGUUCAUUGAUUAUCUGUCUUUGAACAUCAUUGUCUUCAGUUCACUGAUUCAUCAUUUAAACAUUGCCUCAUAGCUGAUCUGAGCACUGCUUGUUUUUCCUUUUCAAGGUCUACUGUAUUGCCCCCAGCUGCUCAACUUUUCAAGGAGUGUCGAGGACUUCAAUGUCAUUUCUAUCAACGAUUUUGCAUACUCAAUCAAUGUUCUUCUGUGUUUGAUAAUCUUCCUUGUUCUGGAAUCAACUCUCAUAUUUCAAAGAUCAUGUCUAUUCAAAGUCUAGUUUGUUGAAAUGAAAUCAGAGAUGUCUUUUUUGAAAAUCUUUUGAAAAUCAAGCUUUUUGAUCAAAGGCCCAACACAUUUUAUUCGAAAUAUAUAGUCCUUUGAUUGUCAUGCAUUUUGAAAACAGAAAUUGACCCAAUGUAGGAUUAAAAAUGGCUUUUUCCAUGGUUCUUUGUAUCAAUUUGAAUCCUUGAUAUUGGGUAUAUCAUUUGAUAGUUUAUGGUGAGGUGACCUUCUGUGAAUUUCAAAAAACAAGGCUCAAGUCAAAACUUGAGGAUUCAUGAAGGAAAUGUUUUGUUUUUAGCAAUAAUUUUAUCAACAUGCAUAACGACCGGUAACUUAAUUCAUGAAGUCAUGACUCUUAUGGAAAAACUCUUCAAGUUUUGAGAGCGUCAUUUAUCGGUUCAAGUUGCUUGCUUGAUUAAAAAGGGCUUUUAAAAGCACGUAAUGUAGGCUACGGUUCAUGGCUAUGAAAGAAAGGAAUUUCAAAGGCUCAAAAGGUGUUUGAGGGUUUCAAAGACCUAGGAUCAACAUCAACUAUUCGUCAACUCUUUUAUAUUGUUGUCUUUGUAGAGGAAACGACAUAUAACCUUGUUAACCUCAAAGUUCAGACUUUUCUUAACAUAAGUCAUAAUGCAAAUCCAACUUUCUUUGAGGAAAAACCAACCUUAAUCAUCUGAUAACAUCAUAGGUUUUAUAACGGAUACCAAAAGUCAACGCUUAUAGCUUAGUCUUUUUCUGGUAUUGACUUUUGUUGUGCCUUUCCUUGAUUGAAAUUUCUUUUGCUCUUCAUAGACUUGAUAGGCGUUCUCCUUCCUUUAUCUUUGACUUGUAUUUAAGUGAAGGCAAUUUCAACUUCCUUUUUUCAUUCUCUUUUUUUUUUUUCAUAGCCUUCCUCAAAAUUUUCUUAUAUGCCCCCAGUCUAUGUGUUUUCUUUUAGCUCUCUCUCAAUCAUUGGACCUUUGUUCUAAGCCUUCCCCUUUAUCCAUUAAUUAUAUCAAUGUCUCCAAAAUAUCUCUCAUUUGCCCCCAGUGUGGGGUGUGAUCCUAGUCAGGGUUUCUUUUUUGAAAGAAAAUAUUUUACCAGGCUCAAAAUGGGACUGCAAGGGAUAUAAUCUUUAGAAAGUGAAGGGAUAUCAAAGAUGGCCUUUUCUCAUUUCAAGCAAGGUCGGUUAAAACCGAUAAAUUUUGACCUCAUCCAGUGUAAUGAUUGGGACUUGUAAGAAUCAUGAUUCACGAGUCCAUAACUACCGAAUCCACUACAUGUCAUUAUGCAUACUGUUAAAACUUAGCUAUAUGAUGUGUGGUUCAGUUUCAGGAGGUAUGAGUUCAAAAUUGUUUGGUCACCUCAUGUCAUUUUCAAGCAUAGAGUCAUUUCUGUAAUCAAAACACUUUAAUCUUCCGGAUUGAUUAACCUUUAUCGCAUGUUGGAGUUUGAUCAAAAUAUUUUGUCAGAAUAAAAUGCUAAACAUCUGUUGAUUUCAAAACAACAAAGAGACAAAAGCAAGGCAUGUUUCGUUGAAGGAUGAGAUGUGAUCCCAAAACAAAAUGCAGAAUUCCAUAACAAUAUGAUUGACUGUUCAUCACCAUUCUCGAAUCAGCUUUUCUGGCAAUAUCUGUGUUUUGCAAGCAUUUUCGAUCACAUGUCAUUCUGAAGAUGUUCGGGGAACAAUAUAGCCAGUGACACCCUUCUUCAACGACUCCACUGUCUCUUGCUCACCAACUUUCAGACUCAUUCUUGCAAUUCUUGAAACUGUUCACUUGAAAUGGUUGAGGACCCCACCAUGACAUCACAUCUCUUAUCUGGAUUAUACCACUAGAAAUUGGUGGUUGCAUGGGAUUUGUCGGAGUCAAGCAAAAUUCUGGAAUCUGCGGAUGCUGGUCGACAACUUAAACGGCAGAGGAAUGUCCCAUCUUGGCAAAGAUAUUUGAGCAAUUGAUGAUGCUGAGACCUGGCUAUACCACAUAAUUAAGGGUCACACCGUCAAAGUCAUCUCCUGAUUCACCUCUCAUCAUUGUUCUAGAAUCCAUGGCAGAUCCUUCAAUCUUUCUCUCUUCAUAGCUUGUUCAAUUCUUCGGCAAAUCCUCACAACAUUAUUUCAAUCUUCCAAUGUUGCUUGUGGUUGGUUGAGGAUUAGAAAACUUUCUAACAGCUUGGUAAUCUUGGCAGCGCCCAGAAACUUGUAGUAUCGCCACUACCGACGUGUGGAAUCACACAUUGUCUCUAUUGGAAGAGCACCUGAUGAAUCUAAAACUCCUUGUCCCCUCUUCAUUUCUCACUGACAGUGCAGCAAACAAACACCUAUAGAGGAAGUCCUGCUCUGUUGAAGUUUCAGUAUUCUUCAUGUUUUUCAGUCUAGGCAUGCAUCUUCUCUCUACUUUUGCAUUUUAAUACUGACACUGUUGGAGGAAAAUCAUAAAUGAUCUGAAACUACUAUAUUCCUUCUUGGAUUUCACACUUGCGGAUCCACAAACAGAUUCCUGUCGGGAGAGCUCUGCUACGUUGAAGUUUGAUGUCUGCUCAUAUUUUUCAGACCAGGUCUGGCUCUUCAACCUACUAAGAGGUCUUCGUGCUGAAACUGAUGAGAGAAAUAUUUGUAGCAUAUGCAAUUAGUAAAUCCCCUCUUGCAUUCCCAAUUUGCAGAGCCAUAAAUGGAUUUUUGUAGAGAGAGCUCUGCCACAUUGAAGUUUGACAACUGCUAAUAUUAUCAGACCAGGUCUGACUCUUCUGCCUACUACAAUGUUUUGCUGGUGCCACUGGUGGGAAAAAGUUUCAAAGCAUAUGAAAUUAAUACAUUCCCUUUUGCAUUUGCCAUUGACAGAUCCACAAAUAAAUCUCUACAGAGAGAGCUCUACCGCGUUGAAAUUCAGUGUCUGAUCAUGUUUUUUUUUUUUUUUUUUUUUCAGACCAACAUCUUGUGCUGCUGAACUGGAAUUGAGCUCAUAAUUGGGGUAACUUCAAAGCAGACUAAUGCACCAUGAACAGGAGGUUAGUAGUCGUUUGGUUCCAUUAGAUGAUGUGGAGGCGAUGAAUACUUAACAGCGCAACUGGACAGGAAUCAGAGUUGUCAUUAGUUGAUGACUGAAGGCGUUGUUGCUGUUGUUCAUGACUGAAAAGGAAAGGUACAGCUUCAAUUGGACGUGAACAAGCAGUGUUCCCACAGAAAACUGUGCAGACAUUCUCUUUUCAUUUGAUGCUCAACACUUGUUCGAGCAGAUCUGAGUCCCGCUACUUCACUCUUGAUGCUCUCAACCUUAAUCUGAUACUGAACCUAUAUCUGACUCCUUUGUUCACUUCCAUUAUUUUUCUUCAAUCUCGUGCAGCACAACUUGUAUAGGGGACCUAUGUUUCGACCCGGUUCAUGCAUGAUAAAUGUAUGAACAUAUGAACUCUCCCUUCGAGAGGUGACAAUAUGGUCGUAACUCUUGUAUGAUGGACAAGAAUCGUGAUUUUUGCCCAAACUCUACAAUGAAAAUUUUCGGAGCAACGGCCAAUGUGUCACCCACAAGUCUUGAGUUCAAGAUGCUUCAAGAAGGGUUUGCCCUUAUGCAAAAAACGAUAGCACAUACAACCUAAGGACAGGUUCUAUUCAUUAUGUGAACAUGGGUAAGUUUUCUACCUGGUCUCAAAAGGGUCUCAUAUCUGCCCAGUGACGUUCUUCGUAAAGACAGUUUGGGGGCGUUGCAAGGAAUGGUUAAGGUACGUAUACCCACCAUUACCAAGCAGACACUCAGAUAUGAGUUGGGUGUUUCACGCAUCUGAACCCUGACCAAUAGUCUUAGGACAGAUCGCUAGUUCCCCACCUAACCUAGAAGCUUGUGUGUGCUUUUAAAAAUAAAUACAAGUGAUGCAUGAGACAAUUCUAUAAAAUGCAUGGAAAUAAAUAUUAACCAAAAAGAUAAAAAUGCAAAAACUUAAACACAUCAAAUACACAAAGCUUAGUCCGAUAAUCGAAAAAAUACCGUCCCCAGUGGAGUCGCCAUUCUGUCGCACCCCAAAAAAAAUCGGCGCGCGGCAUCGGCUGGCGAUUUAAGUCUCAUUGUCGUUGCGUUUGCUUGAAUUUGGUUCGUUGGAGUCGCCACCUAGUAAUUGAUUUCGGGCUACUAGGAAACCGGAUGUACUGGUCUUGUCAAAGAUUCGCGGGUAAAGGACUGGUUGUGGUUAGGGAAGGUAUUAGCACCCCUAACACACCCUACCUGAGGUAAGCUGCUUCGUGGUUUUGACGUGUUAAAGAAGUUUUAAUAAUUGUCUUUUCAUCGGAAAUUAGAAAUAUCACUUACGUAUAAGUUAAUAAUUCUUAACCGUGAUCCGAUCAAAAUAUUAAAUUCUUCUUUAAUAUAUUUGCAAUUUCAUCCUAACAAAUAAAAAAAUAAAUAAAUAAAAUAACAAAUUCAUAAAACAAAUACAAACAAACACAUUCACGUUCACUAUAUUUCUUUUCUUUUCUUUUCCUUUCCUUUUUUUUUUUUGUUCUUUUCUUUUUUUAUUACAUCCAUCAUACAAAAUACAAAUACAAAAUUCAAAUUGAAAUUCAAAAUAAAUAAAUAAAAAUUACAUUACAUAAUUUAAAAUUUACAAAAACAUGUCCCUAAAAUUCUAGAAAUUGCAGGGAAGGACUCCUGCAACCCGCUGGAACAGUGCUGGGAGCAUCUUCUGGGCAGCUGGACAGUGGCGGCGCGUCUCCCCACGCGCCACCGCCACUGGCGGCGCGUGGGUUCACGCGCCGCCGAAAAAAUACCAGAAACCAUGUGGGUCUGUCUCGGCUUCUUCUCUUCCUCCAUUCCCUUCCAGCGGUGAGAAUCGCCGCCACCUGCAAAGAGGAGAAAAACGCACAAAAGGCAGUUGAUUUUAUUUCUUUCUUUCCUUCAGAUCUGUUUCGGCCUUCUUUUUUUCAGUUAUAGUUUGUCGUUCUUCCCUUCUUCCAGUGACAGAUCUGGCGAUUGUUGUCCAUGGAUGUUGAUGGCUGAGAGGAGCGCCGCCGAGAUGGAGACUGUCGUGGAGGGCAGAUCGGCGGUUUGCAGAGGGCGACGAGGGAUCAGUGGCUAGUUGAAGGCGGCGCUGCUGUGGUUGAUGGAGUGGACGGCGCCGAUGGGAUGAGGAGACGCCGCUGCUGGGCCUCCGUUCGGUGUUGGAGGGGGCGCCGCUGCUG